RNA transcript from Syzygium oleosum, 2517 nucleotides. It is a transcript of the gene named TMV resistance protein N-like, with no coding region annotated. NCBI's taxonomy places the organism in Eukaryota, Viridiplantae, Streptophyta, Magnoliopsida, Myrtales, Myrtaceae. The record is from RefSeq and is a predicted model, not a curated record. The transcript is spliced from 4 exons.
GAGAGAGAGAGAGAGAGAGAGAGAGAGAGAGAGUAUAGAGUACAAUAUAGUCAUGUGUAAAGUGCAAUGUAUCGUUGUUGUCUAAUGCUUAUAGACCUCCUCCUGGUGCCUCUGUGAGAGAGGAGAGCGCGAGAGCGAGCGAUGGCUUCGAGGGCGAAGGCUUUGACGGCGACACUACUGGCCGUCGUGUUUCUGUCUCUCACGAUGGCUCCGACUUGGUCCAUGGCGUUUCUGAUUUUGUUCGGAAUGAUUGCCCCUGCAGUUGUUGCUGCUGGAAAAAAGAUGAGAAGAAACCCGGCUCUUGCAGCUGAUGCUCCGGCUCUUGAUGUUGAUGCUCUGGCUCUUGAUGUUGAUGCUCUGGCUGUUGAAGUUGAUGCUGCUGGAAAGAUGAGAAGAAAGCCGGAAUCAUCUUCGUCGUCGUCUGGAAUCGAGUAUGACUUAUACUUGAGUUUUAGAGAUACAGAUGCCCACGAAUUCGUGAGUCACCUUUACACUGAAUUGGAUAGAGCAGGGAUAAGGGUCUUCAUAGACAGCGAAGGACUCCGUAAAGGAGAAGAGAUCGGGUUCAAGCUAAAAGAGGAGAUCAAGCGGUCGAGGAUCUGUAUAGCCGUCCUCUCUCCAAAUUUUGCUUCCAGUAAAUUUUGCCUCGAUGAGCUGUUACAAAUGUGGGAGUUCAGAGAAUUAAAUGGACAUACUAUUAUCCCUAUUUUCUAUGAAGUUAGUUCAUCCGAUGUAAAACACCAGGCUGGGGAUUUUGGAAGGUCCUUCGAUCGAUAUGAGAAACUGGGAGUCGACUUAAAUACCAUCGAAACAUGGAGGAAGGUUCUUCGACAGAUCGGGAGUAUGAAGGCGUCAUCGAUUGCGGCGAAGCCAAAUGGGGACGAGGGCCAGCUCGCAGAAGAAGUUGCACGUGUGGUGCACGUGUUGAAAAAGGGUGACCAAGUUAUAACCGACAAACUAGUUGGGAUUGAUGAUCAUGUUGAAAAGAUGAUGAAGAUCCUUGGUUUUGCCUACAGGAAGGGACAAGCGACCGAAGAACGUGGCGGAGACGUACGCAUCCUCGGAAUAUGGGGUAUGCCGGGUAUUGGAAAGACUACACUUGCAAAGGUUGUCUUUAACAAGAUGCGUAAGUUAUUUGAUGCAAGUAGCUUCCUUGAAGAUAUUAGCUUGGAAGGAGUCGAGUUUUCACGACGAAAGUUGAUUGUUGACCUUCAAAAGCAAAAACCUGCGCCAGUUGAAUCUUCCGGUGAAGGGAUUGAAGAAAUAGCAAGUCUAUGUCGUAAUGCGAAGGUUCUCAUUGUGCUUGACAAUAUAUGCGAGAGUCAACCAAUUAAAGCAUUAACUGGGAACCUUACUUGGUUGAGUCCGGGAAGUAGAAUCAUUGUGACGACGAACAAAAGAAAUGUCUUAAACGCUUUGGCCUUUGGAGCACUUGAUCGUUGGACAGUUUUUACAUACGAGGUCGGAGACAUGAGGGAUGACCAUGCUCAUAAACUCUUUUGUAAGUAUGCUUUUCGAGGGGCUGCUGCCCAAGAUGUCUCCGAAUAUUUUGGCUUGUCCAUGGACAUUGCCAAAGCUAUUGGAGGGCUUCCUUCAUCCAUUGUGGAUCAUGCUUCAUCUUUACGCGACAAUAUGAAUAUACAUACAUGGAAGAGUACCUUGGGAUUAUUGAAAAAAAAAACCCAAAAAAUAUAGGCAAGCUGCCUUUCAAGUCAGUUAUGCAGGAGGAUCAGAGCUUGGAAAUUCCGUUUAAGAUUAUCGACUCACAAGCCCAAUUCAAGACUCACCAAUUAACCAAAGCCCCUCUGUUAGUUAGGCAAGCAAACCGGAGUAGAUUUUGGCCCAUCCAAGGAGCACAGCCUGAUCCAACAGGUCCAAUGUGGAGGAAGAAGCCCUGGACUUUUGGAGUAAGAAUGCAUUGCACAAAUCUUGAGACAAUGCCAGGCUGGAGGGUUGAAUCCGAUGACCUGGGAGCACACACAGGUUUACCAAAAGGUUCCUGGAUUGCAUUGCCAUCAGGAGUAGUACAGGGCCUCGUUACAUCUAAUUUUAUAAGUGCACUCCUUUCUCAUUCUAGACAUCGUAUCAUUCUUUUGACCUUUGGAAGCUUUUGAGGAGGAGAUCUCUUCGGGUAACCAUAAAGUACGCCAUCUACAAAGACCGCUCGCCAGGGACCAAUAAGAAGGGCUUCGCAUUGCACAGUGAAGUAGUGGCCCACUUCGCAGCUGUUUACGCAUUUCUCUAGUCUGCCAGAGAGAUUGAAAAGGAAUCAUAACCGAUUCCUUCAUCAUUGUUAUUACUACAGGAAGGCAGUUUCAAGCCAACACCAACCAGAGUCAUGCUAGAAUAUACCCUCUAUUCUAUCAGCAGUGAUCCUCACUCAGUCUGCGCGAGGUGUCUGUGCCAUCCCAGCCAAUUCUGGACUUCUGGUUUGCUGUCGUGACUAUAAUGUAGCUCUAGUACCUGCACACCUUGCACAAUUAUGCAUUGAUGCUGCUAUGUGAAAAGUAGUUUCCA